UAGGGGAGUCGAGGUUCGGCACCCCUCCCUGAGCCCAGGGUAACUCUCAAAGUGGAGGGGCA
Non-coding RNA from Canis lupus familiaris (dog), 62 nucleotides. Lineage: Eukaryota; Metazoa; Chordata; Mammalia; Carnivora; Canidae. The record is from Rfam.